Molecule: long non-coding RNA, 1021 nt
Organism: Oncorhynchus tshawytscha (Chinook salmon)
Lineage: Eukaryota; Metazoa; Chordata; Actinopteri; Salmoniformes; Salmonidae
Source: Ensembl
GUUUAUUCUGGACAGGGCCUAACUAUACUAGCUCAAUAAGAAAAUGCCCUAGAGAUAUUCCUUAUUGCGGCAGUGGUUAAGGUGUUUGCCCUUGGUGCUGAUGGCCUAGACUUGGUAGACCUGCUAGGGGAGUCACCCUACUCUAUAGGUCUUCACGGAUCCACCUGUGUCCCGUGGUCUGGGCCGGUUCUGAUAUGAUUAUCUCGGACGAAUACAUUUCCAGACCUGGACUAAGGGAUGGCUAACCCUGGAGAUCCCUUCAAUCUCCACCAAGUUAGGUAAAUCUACUUUUAGUUUUUUGUCACCUCUCAUGGGAAAUUAUCUCCAAAACUCCUUAAACUUGGUGGAGUUGGUGCCUCUGCGGAAGGUGUUCCCAAACUUUUUUGGCCCACAACCCCAUUUGAAAUCAGAAAAUUCUCACGGCCCCAACCAUGUGAAUAAGAUGAUGUAAUUAACAGCCAGUGUUUACUUUUUUAUUUGGGGCUAUGGCAGUCAAUUGAAAAACAGUAUUACUGAUUUUCUUCUCAACUUACCAUCACAUACUUUGAAUGUGGGGCUAUGACAAUCAAUUGCAAAUUAGUCUGACAUAAUGUAUCUUAUCUCACCACAUUACUCAGGGGCGUUGUCAACAGUGCGCACCUCAUCUCUGCUGUAACAUCUAAACUGGAUUGAUAUUUGGUUUUAUUGCAGGUAAAAGCGCUGAAUCCAGCUUUAAUCGUGCUUUCAAAACAACUGGAAACUCUGAAAAAGGUGAGGUCAAAUCAUAAGGUCAGUGAUCUUCAUGUCGGAAAUUCUGAGCUCUAGAAAGAGGCCCAGAGUUCCCGAGUUGGAUUACCAUUCAAAAAUAUUUUUGAGCUCGUUUUUUUCUGAGUUGCCAGUUGUCUUGUACGCACUGAAGUCGAACGCCGGAGAUUUCCGAGUCCACAGUUGUUUUGAACGUGGUAUUAAUGCUCAGAGGCAGUGUAGGUUAUUCCCAUUGAGUCAGGAGACAAAAUUAAUCAGUAGUGACCUGUGAAUGCAU